CAUAUUGAGCGACUGUUUUUGUAU
RNAcentral lists this non-coding RNA (24 nucleotides) under Arabidopsis thaliana (thale cress). The record is from RNAcentral. Lineage: Eukaryota; Viridiplantae; Streptophyta; Magnoliopsida; Brassicales; Brassicaceae.